Molecule: ribosomal RNA, 468 nt
Filed under: uncultured bacterium
Lineage: Bacteria
Description: partial 16S ribosomal RNA
Rfam family: Bacterial small subunit ribosomal RNA
Source: RNAcentral
GACGAACGCUGGCGGCGUGCUUAACACAUGCAAGUCGAACGGAAAGGCUCUGUUUUGUUGGUGUGCUCGAGUGGCGAACGGGUGAGUAAGACGGGAUUAACUUGCCCUGGACUUUGGGAUAACUUCAGGAAACUGGGGCUAAUACAGGAUAGGUGCUCCUGCUGAAUGGUGGAGAUUGGAAAGUUCCGGCGGUUGGGGAUGGACACGCGGCUGAUGGGCUUGUUGGUGGGGUAGUGGCUUACCAAGGCAUUGACGGGUAGCCGGACUGAGAGGGUGACGGGAUACGACGGGACUGAGAUACGGCCAAGACACCUACGUGAGGCAGAAGUAGGGAAGAUGUCACCAUGGGAGGAGGAGGAAUGCAGCAACAUCGCGUGCGGGAUAACGGCCUUCGAGUUGUAACCUGAUUUCGGCUGUGACGACGCGUGAGUGACGGUACUAUGCAAAGAAGGACCGGCUAACUACGUG